GACGAACGCUGGCGGCGUGCUUAACACAUGCAAGUCGAGCGGCAAGGCACCUGCGGGAGUACUCGAGCGGCGGACGGGCGGGUAACACGUGAGUAAUCUGCCCUUCACUUCGGGAUGACCACCGGCAACGGGGGACAUUACCGAAUACGACCAGUCAUCGCAUGAGGUGCGGGGGGAAAGGCAUUUCGGUGAAGGAUGUGCUCGCGCCCUAUCAGCUUGUUGGUCGGGCAAUGGCCUGCCAAGGCAUCGGCGUGUAGCCUGGCUGAGAGGCUGAGCGGCCGAACCGCGACUGAGACACGGCCCGGACGCCGACGUGGGGCAGCAGUGAGGAAGGUUGGACGAUGGGCGAAAGCCUAAUGCAGCAGUGCCGCAGGCGUGAUGACGGCCAACGGGUUGUAAUCCGCUAGCAGUACCGCCGAAGCGCCCCGUCGGGUGGUGACGGUAGGUACAGAAGAAGGACCGGCUAACUACGUG
RNAcentral lists this ribosomal RNA (474 nucleotides) under uncultured bacterium. RNAcentral describes it as "partial 16S ribosomal RNA". It matches the Rfam family "Bacterial small subunit ribosomal RNA", at positions 28 to 507 of the family's 1533-position model. The record is from RNAcentral.